GGAGAACCAAUAUGUGACUAAGCUCAUCAAAAUUUAUUGGUGAAAUUAGUCAUAAUACGUGGCUGGACAUAAUCAGACAUGCGCUGGAGCUGGGCCAUUAGAAGAGACUAGACACUCUAUUGAUUCAAAACUCAAUUAUCAGCUUCAUCCAUCUUCCACACUCUUCCAUCUUCAUAUAUAUUAUGUCUUGGUUCUGGCUCUCUUGAUCUCUUUUGUUCUAAAAGUGUGUAACUGUGUAUUGCCUUUGAAUUUUCCUUCUUGUUCACUACGACACUUUCGGUAUUUGGUAAUUCGUGAAGAAAUCUGCUGCUGAUACUUAAACUGCAGGUACUUUUGAUUUAUUCUGUUCGGUGCCUUUUAUUUUUUGUUUCUUCUAGUUUCUUGUAUUUUAUUUGUUUUGCGCAAUGUAAUUAGUAUUAUUUUUUUUAUCAAAGAAAGAGCGAAUGUAUUUAUCUGCUCAGACUUCCUGUUUUCUUCAUCUAUUUCGCAAGAUACAACAAUAGAAACUUUGAAGAAUUUUUUAUUCUUUUUUUCAAAACUGAUUUAUGAGUUUUAUAAAUAAAAAAAGGCUCCCUGUCUUCCCAAGUCUGCUUAGUUACAUAUAUUGUUAUGUAUUUUUUUUCUUUUAUACAAGCGAUAUUCAAGAACUGCUCUUAGAAUAGACUAGACACACGAUUGAUUCAAAACUCAAUUUUUCCCAGAAGCAAACCAUAACCAGAAUCAUAAAUAUAUAUAAAAUUAUUUGGGGGACUAUUUCCUUCUUCUUUUUUCAUAUUAUUGUCUCAUUUAGUACUGUUUCUUAUAAGAAUUAUUCUUACUCAUUUUGUUCAUAUAUAAGAAAUUUUGUUAUAAGCCUAAUUUUUUUGUCAAGCAGCUUGUAGUCAUUUCAAAGGCAAGCUCUAACGGACCCUUAAUCGGUAAUUUCAAGCUAAUAAAAAUUUUCGAUUGUCGUGAAAAUCUUGCCCUUAAUCUUCAAAUUGAUCAAAAUGAUAUAAUAAAACAACGUUAAUGAUACAACAAAUUUGGACUGGAGAAGUGGAACUGAGCUGGAGUCUUCCUAUAGUUUUGUUCCUCUCUAUUUCGAACAAAGUCACUUUGAUCGAAAUAGAACAGAACAGACAAAAAAUAAUUAUACUGUAAGUGCAGAAUCAGAUUUGAACUUCCGUGUAAGUGCUUCUUGCAAGCAUAAUAUACUGUUUCAAUAUUUUAUAUUUAUGUUUUUAUAAGCCAUAAGACUUACACAUCCUAAUUAAAACUAAUUUUUCACUUAAUUUCUGCAGUUGUGCAUCUUAAUUUGUUCAGUCUGGAUUUGAGGAUCUCAAGCAAAAUCAGAUCUCAAAAUUUCCAUGUAAGUGCUUAUUCUGAACUGAAAUAUCUACGCAAUUAUUUCAUUUUGUUUUAUAUUUGGCCUUCCAGCGUUAUUCUUGUUCCCCCAGCUAAAACUAGCUGUGCAUGUUGAUGUUGUUGAAGAAAACUUCCUUACUUCUUUGGCUGCUUGUGUGUGUCUCUUCGGUCUUAAUUAUCAACAAGUAUGGCAGUGGGAGAGAUUUUUCUUGGGGCGUUCCUUCAGGUGCUGCUCGACAAGUUGGCGCCUCGCGAGAUCCUCAACUACUUUGGUCUCGUAAAGGGCGUCGACAAAAAGCUGAAUAAAUGGAGUGACAAUUUGUCUGCAAUCGUAGCGGUGCUGAAUGAUGCGGAGGAGAAGCAACUGAUAGAGCAUCGUGUGAAAUUGUGGCUGGAUGAACUCAGAGACUUGGCUUAUGAUGUAGAUGACGUGCUGGACAAAUUUGCUACUAAAAUAUUGAAGCGCCAGAUAGAGGGACGGGAUCAAGCCAGCACAAGUAAAAAGGUGCAGAGUUUAUUCCCCAAACUGAAACUCAAUUUCGAUAUGAACUCUGAGAUAAAGAAGAUUACAGAGCGGUUGCAAGAGAUCUCUGAACGGAAAGAUAAGUUUGGUUUAAAGGGCACCGGAACGUCUAGUAAAGCAUGGUCAAGGCCACCAACUUCAGGUGUGCUAGGUGGACUAACCAUUGUUGGAAGAGAGGGAGAUAAAGCAAAAAUAUUAGACAUGUUGUCGAGAGAUGAGCAUAAUAAUGUCAACUUUCAUGUUGUUGCCAUUGUUGGCAUGGCUGGCCUUGGGAAGACUACACUUGCUCAAUUUGCAUUCAACAACAACAGUGAUGUCAUGAAGGAGUUCGAGCCGAGGGUGUGGGUGUCUGUGUCCGAUGACUUCGACAUUGUAAGAGUGACGAAGGCAAUUCUUGAAUCAGUCACAUCUCAACCCGUUAAAGUAGAGGAGUUCAGUAAAAUGCAGCAUGAUUUGAAUGAGCAGUUAAGAGGUAAAAAGUUUUUAAUUGUUUUAGAUGAUAUUUGGAACAAAGGUGAUUUAUAUGAUCUGUGGACAAGACUUCAGUCCCCUUUUAGUGUUGGAGCACAAGGAAGUAAGAUAAUUGUGACAACACGAGACCUAAAAGUUGCAAAGAUUAUGGGAGCCACCGAAGUUCAUAACUUGGAGUCUAUGUCAGAUGAUAAUUGUUUGGAAAUAUUUGAGCAGCAUGCAUUUGCGAACAUUAACAAUGAUAGACCACCAAAUUUUGAGUUGAUUCAGAAAAAAAUUGCUGAAAAAUGCAGUGGAUUGCCCUUAGCUGCAAGAACUCUUGGUGGGCUUUUACGUCAGAAUGAAAUAAACGAAUGGGAAGAAAUAUUGAACAACAAAUUGUGGAAUUUAUCAGGUAAGAGUGACAUUCUUCCGGUAUUAAAGUUGAGUUAUCACUAUCUUCCUUCCAACUUGAAGAGGUGUUUUGCCUAUUGCUCAAUAUUUCCAAAUGACUACGAAUUUGGGGAGAAGCAAUUGAUCCUUUUAUGGAUGGCAGAGGGUUUGAUUCAACAACCACCAGAAGCCAAUAGACAAAUGGAGGAUUUAGGCCACGACUAUUUUCAAGAGCUAUUAUGUAGGUCAUUAUUUCAAAAGGCAAGUGAAAACAGUUCACGAUAUGUAAUGCAUGACCUUGUUACUGAUUUGGCAAAAUGGGCAGCAGGAAAUACUUGUUUUAGAUUGGAGGACAAGAAAGGUGAUAGCUUGCAAUCUGUAUGCUUUCGUCAUUCGUCUUUCAUAAUUGGUGAGUUUGAUGGAGUUCAAAAGUUUGAGGCCUAUCGCGAAGUUAAACGUUUGCGAACAUUCCUGCCACUUUCACUAUCAGAUACUCGGUGGAGUAGACAAUAUCUGGCUCGUACGGUAAUUUUUGAUUUAUUACCUCAGAUGCAAUACUUACGGGUGCUUUCUUUGAAUGGCUAUCAAAUAACUGAGCUGCCAGAUUCAAUUGGUAAUUUGAAGUAUCUGCGGUAUCUUGAUUUUUCUCACACAAAUAUAACAAGUUUGCCUGAAUCAACAACCACUCUUUUCAACUUACAGACACUGAUAUUGGAAGGUUGUCGUUAUUUGAAGGCACUACCCAUGAACUUGAGGAAUCUAGUGAAUCUGCGUCAUCUCAAUAACUCAGAUGUAGGUUCACUGAAAGCAAUGCCUCCGCAACUAGGUCGGUUGACAAAUCUGCAAUCUUUGCCUAAUUUUGUGGUGGGUAAAGGAAGUGAUGAAUCAGGGAUAAGAGAGAUAGGAUCCCUAUCCCAUCUCCGAGGGACAUUAUCGCUCUCAAGGUUGGAGAAUGUGAUCGAUGCUGAGGAUGCACGGAAGGCCGACUUAAAAUCCAAGGAGAGAGUAGAUGAAUUGGUGCUAGAAUGGUCGGAUAACACACAAGAAACGCAAUUAGGCGUGCUUGACAGAUUAGAACCUCAUAGAAAGCUUGAAAAACUCAUCAUCAGGGGUUAUGCUGGAUUAGAAUUUUCAACAUGGAUUGGAGAUCGUUUAUUCUCCACUAUGUGCGUGUACGCUUAGACAAAUGUAAAAUGUCAAAUCUGCCACCACUGGGGCAGCUGCCUUUGCUUAAAGAACUUUAUAUACAGGAAUGGCGGCAGUGAAAAGUGUCGGUCCUGAGUUUUAUGGAGAGAGUAGCUUGCCUUUUCUAGUACUGGAGACUCUUGAGUUUUCAGAUAUGCACAACUGGAAGAAUGGCUUCCUUUCGCACAAGAUCAGGUUUUCCCUUGCUUGAAAUUGCUUUCAAUCAGAAAUUGUCCUCAAUUGGAGGGUAAGGUGCCCGAGAACCUUGAUUCAUUAGCAACACUUCAAAUCAUUAAAUGCGAGGAAUUGGUGAUUUCAAUUUCCAACUAUAAACAAAUUGGUCGAUUAUGGAUAGAUGGCUGCAAAGCGGUGGUGGAGACAAGUGGCGUUGAGUUUGAGUUAUUAAAUUCCCUGGGGCUUUCAAAUAUUUCAGAGGUGAGGUUCCAAACAGGGGAAUUCACCAAAGGAUUAAGGAAGGUUGCAAAUUUGAGGAUUGGCGGAUGUGAGGAGCUGACAUCUUCACUGAAGAAUGAGGAUAGAGUAUUGCAACACUUGAUUUCUCUUGAUUGUUUGGUUAUUGAAGGAAACUCUUCCCUCCUUGAAAAGCUGGGAAAAGAAGCAGAGGAGUUGCUGCAAUUGCAAAUAUUGACUUGCAAGCUUAAAUAUCUACUAUUAUACAAGUGUGCAAGUCUUUCGAAGGUACCAGAAGGGUUGCAUCACCUAACGGCUCUUCAAGACCUUCAAAUAGUUGGAUGCUCAAGUCUGGUUUCUUUUCCAGAUGUUGGUCUGCCUCCUUCCCUUGAAGUCAUAAGGAUUGAGGAGUGUGAUUCGUUGCUGUAUUUCGCAAAAUACCAGAUUCCCCCAAAUCUAAGAAGAAUAGAGAUAACGAGGUGUAAAAGUUUGAAAUCAUUAGUAGAGAAAGACGAGGAUAGUUCGUCGUCUUCCUCUUCUUCUCAUAUUUCUCUUGAGCACUUGGAAAUAUUGGGAUGUGAAUCUCUAACGUUGUUAUCAUUGAGAGCCCAGUUGUUUCCCAGGGCACUUAAAAGCCUACGCAUAUCCUAUUGCCCAAAUCUGAAAUCGUUACCGGAGGGCCUAUGCUACCUCACCAACCUUCAAACUUUAGAGACUUAUCGUUGUGGGAGUCUGGUUUCCAUCCCGAGCCUGAGUGGUGAGGGUUUGCCUUCGCCAACAACAACAGCCGCCUCCAGCCUGAAAGAAAUCUACAUCGAAAAUUGCAACAAAUUGGAGAUGUUACCGGACAUGUGCAAUCUCAACUGUCUUCAGGAAUUGAAUAUUGAUUACGGUGAAGGUUUAAAUUUCACUUCCUUUCCCCCCAACCUAACAUCACUUACAAUUAGUGGAUUCAAGAAUUGUAAGCCGCUGUGGGAGUUGUUGCACAGGCUCACCUCUCUUACAGGCUUGUCCAUCAAUGGUGAAGACCCAAGUGUGGUGUCAUUUCCACCCAACAGUUACAGGGAGAUGGAGAUGGAGAUGCUGCUCCCCGAAUCUCUCACUCAUCUCUCAAUUGGGGGCUUCCCAAAUCUGAAGAAACUGAGCAGCAAGGGCUUUCAAUCCCUCACCUCUCUUCGAUCUCUUAGACUCCACAAUUCUCCAAAGCUGGCAUCUAUUCCAGUGGAGGGGUUGCCUAUUUCACUGAGGGAACUUAAAAUCAUUAGGUGUCCUCUUCUAAAAGAUAAAUGCCAGCCUGGAAGUAAAGGACGAUACCUGCCCAAAAUAUCCCACAUCCCCCGCAUAGGGAUAUGGGAUUAGAAGACGGUUUGAAGAUGAUGAGAACCCACACCGACACAUGGACAUGGUCAACUCCGACUCUCACUCUCCCAGGUACUCUUUAUGGUGAGACUCCUUUUCUCGCAUAUUAUUGCGAGUAGUUUACUGAUUUGCUGUUUCUGGUUCUUUCUUUACUGAUUUGCGAGUAGUUUAUAAUUUUUUAAUGUCGGGGGAUCCCUGAAAAGAAAAGCAAAUUGUUGACCAAUAUAGUUUUGUCAAAAUUACAGCACUUGCCAAAUAAGGAGACCAAUCAUAUUGAAUUAAAAAAAAUUUAAAUAUAUAUGAUUCUUUAAAUUAGGGAGUAUGAUUGGAGUUUAAAUUUUAUAGCUAAAUUUUAACUAAAAAAAUAAGAAGCAUGAUUAUAGAUGCUGUUAUAUUAUAUAGCUAAUAAGAGUUUUCUUUUCGGUUAACUAUAGUUAAUAUAUAGCAUUUACCUAAGCAUAUGAAUAAUAUAAUUGUACAAAAACGAAAAAGAAAAAGAAAAAAAAAACAACAUUGUUAAAUAAUCAUACUGUUAAUUAUAGGGUUCAUUUGGACAGGAAUUAAUUUAUAUAAAAUAUCUAAAUCACCAGCAGCAAUUGGUGGUUUCAUUUUUUUUAAAAAAAAAAAGAAAAAAAAAAGAGUAAUUUACUGAUUUGCUGGUUCUGGUUCUUGCCUUAUGCUAUUGUACACUCGACUUCUUCAAUCACUAUAAUCUUCAUUUUCACUAAGGCAUGACCAUGACACAUUGAAAUGUGAUUUUCAAUUGCUAUUUUGGUAUUUCAGAACUUAGUUUCUCAUCCAUAAGAAUAAAUACAGGAAGUGCAUUUAAGCCAGAUUAGAUCAGCAAAUUCACAUCACUUCAAGAUGACCGUCUCCCAUCCUGACUGGGGAUUCCCCAACCUCCCACUGCGAUUUACUCUUUUUAAGGCCUCGAUAAAAUUGACCCAGUCCUCGCAUGAUGUCUGGUCCAGUGUGAGAGGGGUAAAAGAAGGGACUGCCUCUCUUGCUUCCGGAGCUGCAGGGUGAAGAGCUGUGAAAGGACUGGAUAGCAACAAGGUCAUUUCAUAUCGUGGUAACAUCAACUGAAGAUGGUAAAUCACUACCUUUCUGUUUCAAGUUUCAGAGUUUUAAUAUUUUGCCAUUUGGUUUGCCCUGUAAUAUUUUGUCAUCUCUGUACUGAGAAAACUUUUACCCAUAUUUCUCUUUCUUUUGUUUGAUUGUAUUCAAGUUGGUAGGUUUACUUAAUCUUAACUUAAGAUUUGAACCCUGACCCCUUUACAAUCUGUAGAGGACUUGUAGAGCUUGCAGUUUUUAAAGGACAUCACGUAAGCAAGUGUGAAUGUGUUGAAAAAAGACCAUUUCAUUAUCAAACAGAGUGAGAAAGCAGCAGCUGGAGCUGGGCCAUUAGACUAACACUAGCCUUGAUUGAAAACCAGUGUGUCUUGUUUUGGUCUGCCAUGGAAUCAAUUUUCUACUUUUCUUUCUUUCUAUUUUUAAUGUAGGCAACUUCCUAUUUCUUUCUAUUUUUAAAGUCAUAAAAUAUUGCUCCUAAAUCUCCAAAUUGAUCAUAAAUAUCUAACCUUUUUUUUUGUUUUUUUGUUUUUUGACAAAGCAAUAUUGUAAAUUAACCUAAUGUAUACGAAGGGAGAUCAAACUUAGGUGUAAGAGAGCAGACAUACUGAAUUUAGGUGCAAGAGAGCAGACACAUUAUCAUGAUUAACUGGCCUAACCCAUAUUUACAUAUCUAACAAAAUUUUCUUAAUUUCUUCCACAAGUAAAUUAAGGGUGGACAUUAAUGUCAUAGCCUUUAUGACUAUGUUAAUUGUGUCGACUGGAUAAAAAGUCCUGGGGAAUUUGCAUUGCGUUUUCCUUAUCCAUCAGAUGCCGAACUUUAUUUUCUUCUCAUUUGUGUCUUGUAGCGCAGACUUUGUUUUUGAGUCUUUUUCAUUGACCCAAAAGAAAAAGAAAAAGAAUAUUUUCUCAUCAUAAACUUCUUAUACUCAAAAUUCUCAAACCCAUAAUUAGUUUCUCCCACAUAAGUUUCAUCCAUCUUCAUAUAUAUAUAUAUAUAUAUAUAUUAUGUCGUUCUUGCUCAAAAUCAAGGUUGAAAUGAGCAAGUUCAUAACCUUCCGUCUAAUGAAAUAAUUAUGUGGCUAGUAUAAAUGUACAUAUCAUGAAUUUCGCAAUGAAGAAAACCAAGUUCAAACAAGUUGAUAUAUCGCACAUGCAUUUAGGCAAUAAAUUUAUUGGUGAAUUCGUGGUUGGACAAAAGCAAGUGUGAAUGAGUUUAAAAAAGACCAUUUCAUUAUCAAACAGAGUGGGAAAGAAGCAACUAGAGUAGGCCCAUUAGACUAUGAUUGAAAAAUCAGUUACUUAUUUGUGUUCUCCAUACAUACUUUGUAGGAGACAUGGCUCCUAGGGCCGUAUGAACUUCCAUGAAAUGAGAGUGAGGGAGAAGCAAUAUGUGACCAACCUCAUCAAAAUUUAUUGGUGAAAUUAAUCACAAUAUGUGGCUGGACAAAAGCAAGUGUGAUGUGAGUGAUUUUAAAAAAAGACCAUGUCAGGAUCAAACGUAAUCAGACAGAAGGACGCGGCAUGAGCUGGAGCUGGGCCAUUAGAAUAGACUAGACACUCCAAUGAUUCAGAACUCAAUUAUCAGCUUCUACUUUUCAUUUUGGCCAAAACAAAGUAAAUAAGCAUUCUACUUUUUUUAUGUAAAGGCUGGGGAAUUUGCAUUGCGUUUUCCUUAUCUACCAGAGUCUUUGUUUCGCAGUCUUUUCCGUUAACUUAAAAUUCUCAAACCCAUAAUUAGUUUCAUCCAUCUUCCACACUCAUCCAUCUUCAUAUAUAUUAUGUCUUGGUUCUGGCUCUCUUGAUCUCUUUUGUUCUAAAAGUGUGUAACUGUGUAUUGCCUUUAAAUUUUCCUUCUUGUUCAUUGUAAUUCGUGAAGAAAUCUGCUGCUGAUACUUAUCCUGCAGGUGCUUUUGAUUUAUUCUGUACGGUGCCUUUUAUUUUUUGUUUCUUCUAGUUUCUUGUAUUUUAUUUGUUUUGCGCAAUGUAAUUAGUUUUUUUUUUUUUUUUUUUAAUCAAAGAAAGAGCGAAUGUAUGUAUCUGCUCAGACUUCCUGUUUUCUUCAUCUAUUUCGCAAGAUACAAUAAUAGAAACUUUGAAGAAUUUUUUAUUCUUUUUUUCAAAACUGAUUUAUGAGUUUUAUAAAUAAAAAAAGGCUCGCUG
Molecule: long non-coding RNA, 8899 nt
Filed under: Prunus persica (peach)
Lineage: Eukaryota; Viridiplantae; Streptophyta; Magnoliopsida; Rosales; Rosaceae
Description: long non-coding RNA (PPER_LNC001766)
Source: RNAcentral